This 329-nucleotide long non-coding RNA is filed under the name Gossypium barbadense (sea-island cotton). RNAcentral describes it as "long non-coding RNA (GBAR_LNC003366)". The record is from RNAcentral. Lineage: Eukaryota; Viridiplantae; Streptophyta; Magnoliopsida; Malvales; Malvaceae.
CUCAAACCAUCUAAAACGUCGCAUGAACCAUUGCCACUUGCCCAAUAUGUCAGAAAAUUUUCUGCUUUUGCAGUUUUUUCCGGGCUUUGUUUUCAGAUUUAGGAUUGCUAGCCUCAGUCAUGGCUGCGGCAGGGGAAGAAUCCAUCAGACUGGCAGCGAUUGCAGCCUUCAAGUUCUCAUCUUCCAUAUCCAAAAGCAUUUGCCUAUCUGUUUCAUCCAACUGAUCUGGAUGCUGUUGAGUAUUGUUUCUUUCUGGAGGAGCUUGUAUUAAGUUGGAUGAUCACGUGAUCCGGCUCGGUUGAAUGAGUCGAGUCUACGUUAGUUGCCCG